Molecule: unclassified non-coding RNA, 95 nt
Filed under: Oryza sativa (Asian cultivated rice)
Lineage: Eukaryota; Viridiplantae; Streptophyta; Magnoliopsida; Poales; Poaceae
Description: partial microRNA MIR472f-2 precursor
Source: RNAcentral
UUCACAAUGUAAGUCAUUCUAGCAUUUUCCACAUUAUCUAGAUUCAUUAACAUCAAUAUGAAUGUAGAAAAUGCUAGGAUGACUUACAUUGUGAA